AACGAACGCUGGCGGCAGGCCUAACACAUGCAAGUCGAACGCCCUAGCAAUAGGGAGUGGCAGACGGGUGAGUAACGCGUGGGAACGUGCCCUUCGGUUCGGAAUAACUCAGGGAAACUUGAGCUAAUACCGGAUACGUGCGAGAGCAGAAAGAUUUAUCGCCGAAGGAUCGGCCCGCGUUCGAUUAGCUAGUUGGUGAGGUAAUGGCUCACCAAGGCGACGAUCGAUAGCUGGUCUGAGAGGAUGAUCAGCCACACUGGGACUGAGACACGGCCCAGACUCCUACGGGAGGCAGCAGUGGGGAAUAUUGGACAAUGGGCGCAAGCCUGAUCCAGCCAUGCCGCGUGAGUGAUGAAGGCCCUAGGGUUGUAAAGCUCUUUCGCCAGGGACGAUAAUGACGGUACCUGGAUAAGAAGCCCCGGCUAACUUCGUGCCAGCCGCCGCGGUAA
This 449-nucleotide ribosomal RNA is filed under the name uncultured bacterium. RNAcentral describes it as "partial 16S ribosomal RNA". It matches the Rfam family "Bacterial small subunit ribosomal RNA", at positions 29 to 523 of the family's 1533-position model. The record is from RNAcentral.